RNAcentral lists this ribosomal RNA (429 nucleotides) under uncultured archaeon. RNAcentral describes it as "bacterial SSU rRNA". It matches the Rfam family "Archaeal small subunit ribosomal RNA", at positions 474 to 903 of the family's 1478-position model. The record is from RNAcentral.
CACCAGCCCCUCGAGUGGUGGGGAUGAUUAUUUGGCCUAAAGCGUCCGUAGCCGGCCGGGUAAGUUUCCCGUUAAAUCCAGCGUCUCAAGCGUUGGACUGCGGGAAAUACUGCCUGGCUAGAGAGUGGGAGAGGUGUACGGUAUUCUGGGGGUAGGGGCGAAAUCCUUUGAUCCCCGGAGGACCACCAGUGGCGAAGGCUGUACACUAGAACACGUCUGACGGUCAGGGACGAAAGCUGGGGUAGCGAACCGGAUUAGAUACCCGGGUAGUCCCAGCUGUAAACGAUGCAUGCUAGGUGUUGGGUUGGCCACGAGCCACCCCAGUGCCGCAGGGAAGCCGUUAAGCAUGCCGCCUGGGAAGUACGAUCGCAAGAUUGAAACUUAAGGGAAUUGGCGGGGGAGCACCACCAGGCGUGAAGCCUGCGGUUU